GAUGAACGCUGGCGGCGUGCUUAACACAUGCAAGUCGAGCGAAGCGCUUAAGUUUGAUUCUUCGGAUGAAGACUUUUGUGACUGAGCGGCGGACGGGUGAGUAACGCGUGGGUAACCUGCCUCAUACAGGGGGAUAACAGUUAGAAAUGACUGCUAAUACCGCAUAAGACCACGGUACCGCAUGGUACAGUGGUAAAAACUCCGGUGGUAUGAGAUGGACCCGCGUCUGAUUAGGUAGUUGGUGGGGUAACGGCCUACCAAGCCGACGAUCAGUAGCCGACCUGAGAGGGUGACCGGCCACAUUGGGACUGAGACACGGCCCAGACUCCUACGGGAGGCAGCAGUGGGGAAUAUUGCACAAUGGAGGAAACUCUGAUGCAGCGACGCCGCGUGAAGGAUGAAGUAUUUCGGUAUGUAAACUUCUAUCAGCAGGGAAGAAAAUGACGG
RNAcentral lists this ribosomal RNA (447 nucleotides) under uncultured bacterium. RNAcentral describes it as "bacterial SSU rRNA". It matches the Rfam family "Bacterial small subunit ribosomal RNA", at positions 28 to 457 of the family's 1533-position model. The record is from RNAcentral.